CAGUCGCCACGGGAAUACGUAGGUGGCAAGCGUUGUCCGGAAUUAUUGGGCGUAAAGCGCGCGCAGGUGGUUUAAUAAGUCUGAUGUGAAAGCCCACGGCUCAACCGUGGAGGGUCAUUGGAAACUGUUAAACUUGAGUGCAGGAGAGAAAAGUGGAAUUCCUAGUGUAGCGGUGAAAUGCGUAGAGAUUAGGAGGAACACCAGUGGCGAAGGCGGCUUUUUGGCCUGUAACUGACACUGAGGUGCGAAAGCGUGGGGAGCAAACAGGAUUAGAUACCCCAGUAGUCCCUGUCUCUUAUAC
RNAcentral lists this ribosomal RNA (301 nucleotides) under uncultured bacterium. RNAcentral describes it as "partial 16S ribosomal RNA". It matches the Rfam family "Bacterial small subunit ribosomal RNA", at positions 509 to 807 of the family's 1533-position model. The record is from RNAcentral.